UUGCAUAGCACUUUGUACAGCUUUCCAAACAUAUCAUCAAUUUGUAAUCUGUAUUAUGAAUGAAAGAAACUGUAGAGAUUUUUCAUAGAUCUCAUGCAAAAAAUUAAAAUAUAAAAUAAAUUAUUCAACAAUAGAUCUCAAAGUAUAAAAAUGAUAAUCAUCCAUGAAUCAUAUCUUGAAAUCUCUGAGCAGCCAUUGAUGAUCUCUGUUGGAACGUCC
Molecule: long non-coding RNA, 219 nt
Filed under: Elaeis guineensis (African oil palm)
Lineage: Eukaryota; Viridiplantae; Streptophyta; Magnoliopsida; Arecales; Arecaceae
Description: long non-coding RNA (EGUI_LNC033356)
Source: RNAcentral